UUUUAAUUGUUAUAUUUCUCAAAGUUUUUACCUUUCUCAUCUAUAUUUUUUUCAUUUUUCAGGAGAUUAGAUUUUUUUGGUUCAGGGAUGAGGGAUUUGGUCGCCAAACCCUUUCUGGUCUCAACCCAUUGAGCAUACAAUUGAUCACGGUGUCAUAUAUAGAACCUUAAUGAUAAUUAUAAUUAAAUCAUAAAUUAAGCUCCCUUUUUCUUUUGUUUGCAUUUCAAAAAAUACCCUAAAAUUGAAUUAUUAGCUAGCUAAUGGCAUACAAAAUCAUGUUAAAUGGAAGCUAGUUGGAAAAAAAAUGUUAAUAGUAGCACACAAAAUCAUGCAGGAAUGGCCAUUAAAGAGUGAACUUGAUCCUGAGAUUUAUUCCGCCGGAGUCAGCAAUCACAACAGAAAUAAUUGUGCAGGAAAUUAGAGGGUUCAUGACAGUUGAGGAGGCUAUAAAACAAAAGAAGCAGUUCAUCCUUGACUACCAUGACUUGU
Molecule: unclassified non-coding RNA, 489 nt
Filed under: Hevea brasiliensis (rubber tree)
Lineage: Eukaryota; Viridiplantae; Streptophyta; Magnoliopsida; Malpighiales; Euphorbiaceae
Source: RNAcentral